RNAcentral lists this transfer RNA (75 nucleotides) under Nitrospira sp. RNAcentral describes it as "tRNA-Arg". It matches the Rfam family "tRNA". Rfam says of the family: Transfer RNA (tRNA) molecules are approximately 80 nucleotides in length. The record is from RNAcentral. Lineage: Bacteria; Pseudomonadati; Nitrospirota; Nitrospiria; Nitrospirales; Nitrospiraceae. RNAcentral also lists the same sequence under 24 other names.
GCGCCUGUAGCUCAGGGGAUAGAGCACCGGCCUCCGGAGCCGGGUGCGGAGGUUCGAUUCCUCCCAGGCGCGCCA